AGUAAGGUGGCUGAGCAGUAAAGCGGUGGAUUGUAAAUCCGCCCAUAAAGGUUAAACUCCUUUCCUUUCUA
RNAcentral lists this transfer RNA (71 nucleotides) under Temnopleurus toreumaticus. Its description in RNAcentral is "tRNA-Tyr". It matches the Rfam family "tRNA". From Rfam's summary of the family: Transfer RNA (tRNA) molecules are approximately 80 nucleotides in length. Their secondary structure includes four short double-helical elements and three loops (D, anti-codon, and T loops). The record is from RNAcentral. Lineage: Eukaryota; Metazoa; Echinodermata; Echinoidea; Temnopleuroida; Temnopleuridae.